GGGCCAGACUCCUACGGGGGCAGCAGUGGGGAAUAUUGCACAAUGGGGGAAACCCUGAUGCAGCAACGCCGCGUGGGUGAAGGAGCGUUUCGGCGCGUAAAGCCCUGUCAGCGGGGAAGAAGAAAGACGGUACCCGACCAAGAAGCCCCGGCUAACUACGUGCCAGCAGCCGCGGUAAUACGUAGGGGGCGAGCGUUAUCCGGAAUUACUGGGUGUAAAGGGAGCGUAGACGGCGAGGUAAGCCUGAAGUGGAAGCCCGCGGCCCAACCGCGGAACUGCUUUGGGAACUGUUUUGCUGGAGUAUGGGAGGGGUAAGCGGAAUUCCUGGUGUAGCGGUGAAAUGCGUAGAUAUUAGGAGGAACACCAGUGGCGAAGGCGGCCUACUGGACGGUGACUGACGCUGAGGCUCGAAAGCGUGGGGAGCAAACAGGAUUAGAUACCCCAGUA
Molecule: ribosomal RNA, 447 nt
Filed under: uncultured bacterium
Lineage: Bacteria
Description: partial 16S ribosomal RNA
Rfam family: Bacterial small subunit ribosomal RNA
Source: RNAcentral